CACCUCUAGCAUUUCCAGUAUUAGAGGCACUGCCUGCCCAGUGACAUCUGUUUAAACGGCCGCGGUAUCCUAACCGUGCAAAGGUAGCAUAAUCACUUGUUCCCUAAAUAGGGACUUGUAUGAAUGGCCACACGAGGGUUUUACUGUCUCUUACUUCCAAUCAGUGAAAUUGACCUUCCCGUGAAGAGGCGGGAAUGACUAAAUAAGACGAGAAGACCCUAUGGAGCUUUAAUUAACUGAUUCACAAAAAACAACACACAAACCUAACCUUCAGGGACAACAAAACUUUUGAUUGAAUCAGCAAUUUCGGUUGGGGUGACCUCGGAGAACAAAACAACCUCCGAGUGAUUUAAAUCCAGACUAACCAGUCAAAAUAUAUAAUCACUUAUUGAUCCAAACCAUUGAUCAACGGAACAAGUUACCCUAGGGAUAACAGCGCAAUCCUAUUCCAGAGUCCAUAUCGACAAUUAGGGUUUACGACCUCGAUGUUGGAUCAAGACAUCCUAAUGGUGCAACCGCUAUUAAAGGUUCGUUUGUUCAACGAUUAAAGUCUU
RNAcentral lists this ribosomal RNA (554 nucleotides) under Equus caballus (horse). RNAcentral's name for it is "partial large subunit ribosomal RNA". It matches the Rfam family "Bacterial large subunit ribosomal RNA", at positions 1816 to 2597 of the family's 2925-position model. The record is from RNAcentral. Lineage: Eukaryota; Metazoa; Chordata; Mammalia; Perissodactyla; Equidae.